UACGGGGGGAGCAAGCGUUGUUCGGAUUUACUGGGCGUAAAGGGCGCGUAGGCGGCCACCGCAAGUCGACUGUGAAAUCUCCGGGCUUAACCCGGAAAGGUCAGCCGAAACUGCGGGGCUAGAGUGCAGAAGGGGCAACUGGAAUUCUCGGUGUAGCGGUGAAAUGCGUAGAUAUCGAGAGGAACACCUGCGGCGAAGGCGGGUUGCUGGGCUGACACUGACGCUGAAGCGCGAAAGCCAGGGGAGCAAACGGG
This 254-nucleotide ribosomal RNA is filed under the name uncultured bacterium. RNAcentral's name for it is "partial 16S ribosomal RNA". It matches the Rfam family "Bacterial small subunit ribosomal RNA", at positions 524 to 776 of the family's 1533-position model. The record is from RNAcentral.